RNAcentral lists this ribosomal RNA (427 nucleotides) under uncultured bacterium. Its description in RNAcentral is "bacterial SSU rRNA". It matches the Rfam family "Bacterial small subunit ribosomal RNA", at positions 917 to 1344 of the family's 1533-position model. The record is from RNAcentral.
GGACCCGCACAAGCGGUGGAGCAUGUGGUUUAAUUCGAUGCAACGCGAAAAACCUUACCUACACUUGACAUACUUCGAAUUUUCUAGAGAUAGAUUAGUGCCUUCGGGAACGGAGAUACAGGUGCUGCAUGGCUGUCGUCAGCUCGUGUCGUGAGAUGUUGGGUUAAGUCCUAUAACGAGCGCAACCCUUACCCUUAUUUGCCAGCGGUUAGGCCGGGAACUAUAAGGGAACUGCCGGUAAUAAGCCGGAGGAAGGUGGGGACGACGUCAAGUCAUCAUGGCCCUUACGUGUAGGGCUACACACGUGCUACAAUGGGAGAUACAGACGGUUGCUAAAGCGCGAGCUGGAGCCAAUCCGACAAAGUCUCUCGUAGUCCGAAUUGCAGUCUGGAACUCGACUGCAUGAAGCCGGAAUCGCUAGUAAUCG